Molecule: ribosomal RNA, 468 nt
Filed under: uncultured bacterium
Lineage: Bacteria
Description: partial 16S ribosomal RNA
Rfam family: Bacterial small subunit ribosomal RNA
Source: RNAcentral
GACGAACGCUGGCGGCGUGCUUAACACAUGCAAGUCGAACGGUGAUGCUCCAGCUUGCUGGAGUGGAUCAGUGGCGAACGGGUGAGUAACGCGUGAGCAACCGGCCCCAGACUCUGGAAUAAGCGCUGGAAACGGCGUCUAAUACUGGAUACGAAACUGGCCCGCAUGGGCAUGGUUUGGAAAGUUUUUCGGUUUGGGAUGGGCUCGCGGCCUAUCAGCUUGUUGGUGAGGUAAUGGCUCACCAAGGCGACGACGGGUAGCCGGCCUGAGAGGGCGACCGGCCACCCUGGGACUGCGACACGGCCCAGACUCCUACGGGAGGCAGCAGUGGGGAAUAUUGCACAAUGGGCGAAAGCCUGAUGCAGCGACGCCGCGUGAGGGAUGACGGCCUUCGGGUUGUAAACCUCUUUCAGCAGGGAAGAAGCGAAAGUGACGGUACCUGCAGAAGAAGCACCGGCUAACUACGUG